RNAcentral lists this ribosomal RNA (253 nucleotides) under uncultured bacterium. Its description in RNAcentral is "partial 16S ribosomal RNA". It matches the Rfam family "Bacterial small subunit ribosomal RNA", at positions 524 to 776 of the family's 1533-position model. The record is from RNAcentral.
UACGGAGGGUGCAAGCGUUAUCCGGAUUCACUGGGUUUAAAGGGUGCGUAGGUGGGUUGGUAAGUCAGUGGUGAAAUCUCCAGGCUUAACUUGGAAACUGCCAUUGAUACUAUCAAUCUUGAAUACCGUGGAGGUCAGCGGAAUAUGUCAUGUAGCGGUGAAAUGCUUAGAUAUGACAUAGAACACCAAUUGCGAAGGCAGCUGGCUACACAAAUAUUGACACUGAUGCACGAAAGCGUGGGGAUCAAACAGG